GUGGAAACAUCACCUAAGUGACUGCUUUUGAGAAAAGCUUUUAAGAAGUUAACAGUAAAUGAACUAGGAAACCAAAGAAGAAUGCAAAGCUGAAAGUCUUGGAGGAUUCAUCAGAUGCACACAACUGCCACCCGAUGGGAAAACAGAGAACAUGACAAACAGCACAUAAAUAAAAGGCAGAUGAAAAGUGGGAGGGUGAAUUUGGGAAUUUGAUUUCAGAACAAAAAAGUGUCUUAUGUAUCCAUCAUAAGUAAGACUCAUAAGAGCCUGCUAGCUCUUUCGUGUGUGUGAAUGUGCGUGUUUUUUCCCCUUCCCUCCACCUCCCUUCCUCUCUUGCUUUUUCUUUCAGAAAUAGACAGCCUACAGUCUGAAGAGAAGCUUAGAGAGAAAUCUAUGCCUUUUUGUCAUACAUGAUGAACUGAAUAAUCUCACGAGAAAGAGUUUAAGCAUCGUAGGGGCCUGUGAAGAACAUGGAUAUGGAUCCUCUAAGAAAGAUUUUUGUAUACUGUAAUAGGAAAAUGAGAGAGCAUUGCUAAAUGAGUCAGGAAGCAGCAACUACUUCCCUUGACAAUUACUGCUUUGCAUUAGAGCAGAGAAGCACCCAGACACCGGAAACAUCAUCUAAGGAGCAGCAGCAUGAUGACAAAGGACAAAACAUACAAUACAUUGAAUAAAC
RNAcentral lists this long non-coding RNA (676 nucleotides) under Struthio camelus australis. RNAcentral describes it as "lncRNA (ENSSCUG00000000605.1)". The record is from RNAcentral. Lineage: Eukaryota; Metazoa; Chordata; Aves; Struthioniformes; Struthionidae.